This 97-nucleotide ribosomal RNA is filed under the name Clostridioides difficile. RNAcentral describes it as "partial 23S ribosomal RNA". It matches the Rfam family "Bacterial large subunit ribosomal RNA", at positions 2828 to 2925 of the family's 2925-position model. Lineage: Bacteria; Bacillati; Bacillota; Clostridia; Peptostreptococcales; Peptostreptococcaceae. The record is from RNAcentral.
GUAAGACCCCAGAAAGACUAUCUGGUUGAUAGGUCGAAGGUGUAAGUGCAGCAAUGUAUUUAGCUUAUCGAUACUAAUAGGUCGAGGACUUGACCAA